This 441-nucleotide ribosomal RNA is filed under the name uncultured bacterium. Its description in RNAcentral is "bacterial SSU rRNA". It matches the Rfam family "Bacterial small subunit ribosomal RNA", at positions 339 to 792 of the family's 1533-position model. The record is from RNAcentral.
GUACGGGAGGCAGCAGUGAGGAAUAUUGCGCAAUGGGCGAAAGCCUGACGCAGCGACGCAGCGUGAGGGAUGAAGGCCUUCGGGUUGUAAACCUCUUUCAGCGGGGACGAAGCGAAAGUGACGGUACCCGCAGAAGAAGCACCGGCUAACUACGUGCCAGCAGCCGCGGUAAUACGUAGGGUGCAAGCAUUGUCCGGAUUUAUUGGGCAUAAAGAGCUCGUAGGCGGCUUGUCACGUCGGAUGUGAAAACUCGGGGCUCAACCCCGAGCCUGCAUUCGAUACGGGCUAGCUAGAGUGUUGCAGGGGAGACUGGAAUUCCUGGUGUAGCGGUGAAAUGCGCAGAUAUCAGGAGGAACACCGGUGGCGAAGGCGGGUCUCUGGGCAACUACUGACGCUGAGGAGCGAAAGCGUGGGGAGCGAACAGGAUUAGAUACCCGCGUA